GAAAGAAAGAAAGAAAGAAAGAAAGAAAGUAUUAUUAGUAGAAGGACUGUAUAUACAGUAUAGAGACAGGGGGUGUAGACAGAUAGAGAGAGAGAUGGAGGGAGAGAGUGUGAAGAAAUGAUUGAGAGCUAGAUGAAGUCUCUGUUACAGCUACAUUAACAGAGAGAGAGAGAGAGAGAGAGAGAGAGAGAGAGAGAAGAGCAACAUCAGACCUUCAGAAUGUUUUCUCAUCCUGCAGAGCGUUUGGAGCAGCGAUCCAUUAACUGAUGGCUAUCUUCCUGUCUUCAUUCCAAGGUGCUCCGUCUCAAACGACGACAUCCCAGCUGGAACAAGAAAAGAUCUGCAGGUUUUAUAGUGGGACGCUUUCCCGUGAAUGUGCUUAGACCUCCCUGAUGUUUCACCCUAGUGUAUAUUCUUUUUCUUACACUGUCAUAGAUUGAUUAUGUAUUAAGUCAAGUCUGUUUUAGAUAAAUGUUCCCAAAAUCA
Molecule: long non-coding RNA, 486 nt
Organism: Tachysurus vachellii
Lineage: Eukaryota; Metazoa; Chordata; Actinopteri; Siluriformes; Bagridae
Exons: 3
Source: RefSeq, a predicted model, not a curated record